GAUGAAGAACGCAGCGAAAUGCGAUACUUGGUGUGAAUUGCAGAAUCCCGUGAACCAUCGAGUCUUUGAACGCAAGUUGCGCCCGAAGCCACUAGGCCGAGGGCACGCCUGCCUGGGCGUCACACGUCGUCGCCCCCCCAUCUACUCCUUCGGGAUUGCGGGGGGGCGGAUGAUGGCCUCCCGUGCGCCUAGCCGCGCGGUUGGCAUAAAUACCAAGUCCUCGGCGACGCACGCCACGACAAUCGGUGGUUGCGAAACCUCGGUUGCCCGUCGUGUGCGUUCGUCGCGCAUCGAGGGCUCGAAAAAAUGCUCGGCUCCGGCUGGGCUUUCAACGCGACCCCAGGUCAGGCGGGGUUACCCGCUGAAUUUAAGCAUAUCAAUAAGCGGAGGA
RNAcentral lists this unclassified non-coding RNA (391 nucleotides) under soil metagenome. Its description in RNAcentral is "partial contains 5.8S ribosomal RNA, internal transcribed spacer 2, and large subunit ribosomal RNA". The stretch from base 1 to 122 matches the Rfam family "5.8S ribosomal RNA", at positions 35 to 154 of the family's 154-position model. The record is from RNAcentral.